GACGAACGCUGGCGGCGUGCUUAACACAUGCAAGUCGAACGAAAAGAGGGAAAGAGCUUGCUCUUUCCGGAAUUGAGUGGCAAACGGGUGAGUAACACGUAAACAACCUGCCUUCAGGAUGGGGACAACAGACGGAAACGACUGCUAAUACCGAAUAAGUUCCAAGAGCCGCAUGGCCCAUGGAAGAAAAGGUGGCCUCUACCUGUAAGCUAUCGCCUGACGAGGGGUUUGCGUCUGAUUAGCUGGUUGGAGGGGUAACGGCCCACCAAGGCGACGAUCAGUAGCCGGUCGGAGAGGAUGAACGGCCACACUGGAACUGAGACACGGUCCAGACUCCUACGGGAGGCAGCAGUGGGGAAUCUUCCGCAAUGGGCGAAAGCCUGACGGAGCAACGCCGCGUGAGUGAUGACGGCCUUCGGGUUGUAAAACUCUGUGAUCCGGGACGAAAAGGCAGAGUGCGAAGAACAAACUGCAUUGACGGUACCGGAAAAGCAAGCCACGGCUAACUACGUG
RNAcentral lists this ribosomal RNA (513 nucleotides) under uncultured bacterium. RNAcentral describes it as "partial 16S ribosomal RNA". It matches the Rfam family "Bacterial small subunit ribosomal RNA", at positions 28 to 507 of the family's 1533-position model. The record is from RNAcentral.